RNAcentral lists this transfer RNA (71 nucleotides) under Camelus bactrianus (Bactrian camel). It matches the Rfam family "tRNA". From Rfam's summary of the family: Transfer RNA (tRNA) molecules are approximately 80 nucleotides in length. Their secondary structure includes four short double-helical elements and three loops (D, anti-codon, and T loops). Lineage: Eukaryota; Metazoa; Chordata; Mammalia; Artiodactyla; Camelidae. RNAcentral also lists the same sequence under 1 other name. The record is from Rfam by way of RNAcentral.
GGGGGAAGGCAUAGCUGUAGAGUGCGUGCCUAGGAUGCACAAAGUCCUGGGUUCAAUUCCCAGUUCCUCCA